RNAcentral lists this ribosomal RNA (443 nucleotides) under uncultured bacterium. RNAcentral describes it as "partial 16S ribosomal RNA". It matches the Rfam family "Bacterial small subunit ribosomal RNA", at positions 338 to 795 of the family's 1533-position model. The record is from RNAcentral.
CCUACGGGGAGCAGCAGUGGGGAAUAUUGGGCAAUGGGCGCAAGCCUGACCCAGCAACGCCGCGUGAAGGAAGAAGGCUUUCGGGUUGUAAACUUCUUUUGUCAGGGACGAAGCAAGUGACGGUACCUGACGAAUAAGCCACGGCUAACUACGUGCCAGCAGCCGCGGUAAUACGUAGGUGGCAAGCGUUAUCCGGAUUUACGGGGUGUAAAGGGCGUGUAGGCGGGGAAGCAAGUCAGAUGUGAAACCCACGGGCUCAACCUGUGACCUGCAUUUGAAACUGUUGGUCUUGAGUGCUGGAGAGGCAAUCGGAAUUCCGUGUGUAGCGGUGAAAUGCGUAGAUAUAAGGAGGAACACCAGUGGCGAAGGCGGAUUGCUGGACAGCAACUGACGCUGAGGCGCGAAAGCGUGGGGAGCAAACAGGAUUAGAUACCCGAGUAGUC